CGGGCGGCCUCCGUGUGCCAAAAAUAGGCCACGGGCACAGCCGCGCCCAAAAAUCAGCCCCCGAAGGUCGGGGUCACAAGACCCCCCAGCGGAAAAAAGGCCAAGAAACGCGUGGGCUAUAGCCUUGGUGGGGGGCGUGGGUGAAGUUCGUCCGCGGGACUCGGAAUGGCACCAUACUUGGCGGGCGGCCUCCGUGUGCCAAAAAUAGGCCACGGGCACAGCCGCGCCCAAAAAUCAGCCCCCGAAGGUCGGGGUCCCAAGCCCCCCCAGCGGAAAAAUGGCCAAGAAACGCGUGGGCUAUAGCCUUGGUGGGGGGCGUGGGCGAAGUUCGUCCGCGGGACUCGGAAUGGCCCCAGACUUGGCGGGCGGCCUCCGUGUGCCAAAAAUAGGCCACGGGCACAGCCGGGCCCAAAAAUCAGCCCCCGAAGGUCGGGGUCACAAGGACCCCCCAGCGGAAAAAAGGCCAAGAAACGGGUGGGCUAUAGCCUUGGUGGGGGGCGUGGGCGAAGUUCGUCCGCGGGACUCGGAAUGGCACCAUACUUGGCGGGCGGCCUCCGUGUGCCAAAAAUAGGCCACGGGCACAGCCGCGCCCAAAAAUCAGCCCCCGAAGUUCGGGGUCCCAAGACCCCCCAGCGGAAAAAUGGCCAAAAAACGGGUGGGCUAUAGCCUUGGUGGGGGGCGUGGGCGAAGUUCGUCCGCGGGACUCGAAAUGGCCCCAGACUUGGCGGGCGGCCUCCGUGUGCCAAAAAUAGGCCACGGGCACAGCCGCGCCCAAAAAUCAGCCCCCGAAGGUCGGGGUCCCAAGACCCCCCAGCGGAAAAAUGGCCAAGAAACGCGUGGGCUAUAGCCUUGGUGGGGGGCGUGGGCGAAGUUCGUCCGCGGGACUCGGAAUAGCCCCAGACUUGGCGGGCGGCCUCCGUGUGCCAAAAAUUGGCCACGGGCACAGCCGCGCCCAAAAAUCAGCCCCCGAAGGUCGGGGUCCCAAGACCCCCCAGCGGAAAAAUGGCCAAGAAACGGGUGGGCUAUAGCCUUGGUGGGGGGCGUGGGCGAAGUUCGUCCGCGGGACUCGGAAUGGCCCCAGACUUGGCGGGCGGCCUCCGUGUGCCAAAAAUAGGCCACGGGCACAGCCGCACCCAAAAAUCAGCCCCCGAAGGUCGGGGUCCCAAGACCCCCCAGCGGAAAAAUGGCCAAGAAACGCAUGGGCUAUAGCCUUGGUGGGGGGCGUGGGCGAAGUUCGUCCGCGGGACUCGGAAUGGCCCCAGACUUGGCGGGCGGCCUCCGUGUGCCAAAAAUAGGCCACGGGCACAGCCGCGCCCAAAAAUCAGCCCCCGAAGGUCGGGGUCCCAAGACCCCCCAGCGGAAAAAUGGCCAAGAAACGCGUGGGCUAUAGCCUUGGUGGGGGGCGUGGGCGAAGUUCGUCCGCGGGACUCGGAAUGGCCCCAGACUUGGCGGGCGGCCUCCGUGUGCCAAAAAUAGGCCACGGGCACAGCCGCGCCCAAAAAUCAGCCCCCGAAGGUCGGGGUCCCAAGACCCCCCUGCGGAAAAAUGGCCAAGAAACGCGUGGGCUAUAGCCUUGGUGGGGGGCGUGGGCGAAGUUCGUCCGCGGGACUCGGAAUGGCCCCAGACUUGGCGGGCGGCCUCCGUGUGCCAAAAAUAGGCCACGGGCACAGCCGCGCCCAAAAAUCAGCCCCCGAAGGUCGGGGUCCCAAGACCCCCCAGCGGAAAAAUGGCCAAGAAACGCGUGGGCUAUAGCCUUGGUGGGGGGCGUGGGCGAAGUUCGUCCGCGGGACUCGGAAUGGCCCCAGACUUGGCGGGCGGCCUCCGUGUGCCAAAAAUAGGCCACGGGCACAGCCGCGCCCAAAAAUCAGCCCCCGAAGGUCGGGGUCCCAAGACCCCCCAGCGGAAAAAUGGGCCAAGAAACGGGUGGGCUAUAGCCUUUGGUAGGGGGCGUGGGCGAAGUUCGUCCGCGGGGACUCGGGAAAUGGCCCCCAGACUUGGCGGGCGGCCUCCGUGUGCCCAAAAAAUAGGCCACGGGGCACAGCCGGCGCCCCAAAAAUCAGCCCCCCGAAGGUCGGGGGUCCCCAAGACCCCCCCAGCGGAAAAAACGGCCAAAGAAAACGCGGUGGGCUAUAGCCCUUGGGUGGGGGGGCGUGGGCGAAAGUUUCGUUUGCGGGGACUCGGAAUGGCCCCAGACUUGGCAGGCGGCCCUCCGUGUGCCAAAAAUAGGCCACGGGCACAGCCGCGCCCAAAAAUCAGCCCCCGAAGGUCGGGGUCCCAAGACCCCCCAGCGGAAAAAUGGCCAAGAAACGGGUGGGCUAUAGCCUUGGUGGGGGGCGUGGGCGAAGUUCGUCCGCGGGACUCGGAAUGGCCCCAGACUUGGCGGGCGGCCUCCGUGUGCCAAAAAUAGGCCACGGGCACAGCCGCGCCCAAAAAUCAGCCCCCGAAGGUCGGGGUCCCAAGACCCCCCAGCGGAAAAAUGGCCAAGAAACGGGUGGGCUAUAGCCUUGGUGGGGGGCGUGGGCGAAGUUCGUCCGUGGGACUCGGAAUGGCACCAUACUUGGCGGGCGGCCUCCGUGUGCCAAAAAUAGGCCACGGGCACAGCCGCGCCCAAAAAUCAGCCCCCGAAGGUCGGGGUCCCAAGACCCCCCAGCGGAAAAAUGGCCAAAAAACGGGUGGGCUAUAGCCUUGGUGGGGGGCGUGGGCGAAGUUCGUCCGCGUGACUCGGAAUGGCCCCAGACUUGGCGGGCGGCCUCCGUGUGCCAAAAAUAGGCCACGGGCACAGCCGCGCCCAAAAAUCAGCCCCCGAAGGUCGGGGUCACAAGACCCCCCAGCGGAAAAAAGGCCAAGAAACGCGUGGGCUAUAGCCUUGGUGGGGGGCGUGGGCGAAGUUCGUCCGCGGGACUCGGAAUGGCCCCAGACUUGGCGGGCGGCCUCCGUGUGCCAAAAAUAGGCCACGGGCACAGCCGCGCCCAAAAAUCAGCCCCCGAAGGUCGGGGUCCCAAGACCCCCCAGCGGAAAAAUGGCCAAGAAACGGGUGGGCUAUAGCCUUGGUGAGGGGCGUGGGCGAUGUUCGUCCGCGGGACUCGGAAUGGCCCCAGACUUGGCGGGCGGCCUCCGUGUGCCAAAAAUAGGCCACGGGCACAGCCGCGCCCAAAAAUCAGCCCCGAAGGUCGGGGUCCCAAGACCCCCCAGCGGAAAAAUGGCCAAAAAACGGGUGGGCUAUAGCCUUGGUGGGGGGCGUGGGCGAAGUUCGUCCGCGGGACUCGGAAUGGCCCCAG
This 3278-nucleotide long non-coding RNA is filed under the name Citrus x clementina. RNAcentral describes it as "Citrus clementina (C. clementina) long non-coding RNA (CCLE_LNC000671)". The record is from RNAcentral. Lineage: Eukaryota; Viridiplantae; Streptophyta; Magnoliopsida; Sapindales; Rutaceae.